AUUGAACGCUGGCGGCAUGCCUUACACAUGCAAGUCGAACGGCAGCACGGGAGCAAUCCUGGUGGCGAGUGGCGAACGGGUGAGUAAUAUAUCGGAACGUGCCCAGUCGUGGGGGAUAACGCAGCGAAAGCUGUGCUAAUACCGCAUACGAUCUACGGAUGAAAGCGGGGGAUCGCAAGACCUCGCGCGAUUGGAGCGGCAGAUAUCAGAUUAGCUAGUUGGUGAGGUAAAGGCUCACCAAGGCGACGAUCUGUAGCUGGUCUGAGAGGACGACCAGCCACACUGGAACUGAGACACGGUCCAGACUCCUACGGGAGGCAGCAGUGGGGAAUUUUGGACAAUGGGCGCAAGCCUGAUCCAGCAAUGCCGCGUGCAGGAUGAAGGCCUUCGGGUUGUAAACUGCUUUUGUACGGAACGAAACGGUGAACUCUAAUACAGUUUGCUAAUGACGGUACCGUAAGAAUAAGCACCGGCUAACUACGUGCCAGCCGCCGCAGUAA
RNAcentral lists this ribosomal RNA (500 nucleotides) under uncultured bacterium. RNAcentral describes it as "partial 16S ribosomal RNA". It matches the Rfam family "Bacterial small subunit ribosomal RNA", at positions 30 to 523 of the family's 1533-position model. The record is from RNAcentral.